This 228-nucleotide unclassified non-coding RNA is filed under the name Hevea brasiliensis (rubber tree). The record is from RNAcentral. Lineage: Eukaryota; Viridiplantae; Streptophyta; Magnoliopsida; Malpighiales; Euphorbiaceae.
UGUGGAGACAUCUUCCUUAUCUGCAGUACAGCCGCCUGAGCCCACUUAUGAUCUAAAAAUAAAGGAAGAUUUGGAAACAAAAAAGGCUUUGUCGUGCUUGCAGAUUGAGACGUUGGUGUAUGCUUCCCAGAGACAUCACCAGCAUCUUCCAAAUGGUGCCAGGGCUGGAUUCUUUAUUGGAGAUGGAGCUGGUGUUGGUAAAGGUCGAACAAUUGCGGGGUUGAUAUG